This 437-nucleotide ribosomal RNA is filed under the name uncultured bacterium. Its description in RNAcentral is "partial 16S ribosomal RNA". It matches the Rfam family "Bacterial small subunit ribosomal RNA", at positions 339 to 795 of the family's 1533-position model. The record is from RNAcentral.
CUACGGGUGGCACCAGUGAGGAAUAUUGCACAAUGGGGGGAACCCUGAUGCAGCAACGCCGCGUGGAGGAUGACGCAUUUCGGUGUGUAAACUCCUUUUAUAUGUCAAGAAAAUGACGGUAGCAUAUGAAUAAGCACCGGCUAACUCCGUGCCAGCAGCCGCGGUAAUACGGAGGGUGCAAGCGUUACUCGGAAUCACUGGGCGUAAAGGACGCGUAGGCGGGUUGGAAAGUCAGGUGUGAAAUCCUACAGCUUAACUGUAGAACUGCACUUGAAACUUCUAAUCUAGAGUAUGGGAGGGGGAGAUGGAAUUAGUGGUGUAGGGGUAAAAUCCGUAGAUAUCACUAGGAAUACCUAAAGCGAAGGCGAUCUCCUGGAACAUUACUGACGCUAAGGCGUGAAAGCGUGGGGAGCAAACAGGAUUAUACCCUGGUAGUC